This 1216-nucleotide long non-coding RNA is filed under the name Cavia porcellus (domestic guinea pig). Its description in RNAcentral is "lncRNA (ENSCPOG00000035935.1)". The record is from RNAcentral. Lineage: Eukaryota; Metazoa; Chordata; Mammalia; Rodentia; Caviidae.
UGGUAUGGGUGAAGAAAAGGGUAUACUAGCCAGCCGAGGUUUACAAGGUGCUUUUUGUCUCGCCAGCUUAUCUCAGAGUGGCCUUGGUUCCAGUGACAGAGGGUAUAAACAAGGAUGUCAAAUCUUCAACAUCACCAGAACUGCUUGGUCACUAGCUUCCCACACUCCAGAGGACCCUGGCCAAUCAACAACAACAACAAUGACAACAGCAAACAGAGCAAUAAUAAUACAAAUGACCAUCACUGUGUCCCUGGUAACACUGCAUUGAAUCCUGGGAGCAUCACCCCAGCUUGGCAUUAUUCCCAUCUCGAGGAUGAGGAAGCUGAGGCCUGAAUCGGGAAAGGGACUUAUCCAGGGUCCGAUAUGGCCAGGAAAUUUAGACCUCUGGCUGCAACCCAGACAUCCUGGUUGCAUGCCAAAAAUUCAAACCGAACCAACCUCCUGCAGACAAUGGUCCAUCUGUCCUCAGAAACCUCAUCUGGCCAUCCACACAGGUCCUCUUCCUGUUACCUCAAAGCCAGGUCUGAACAGAUCUAUAGAGGAGUCGCCACCUCCGCCUCCACUCAGCCCCUCAGCCACUCAACACUCAUUCAUGGAGCGCUCACCAUGUUCCAGCCCCCAUGGCCAAACCAGUGACAAACGAAUGGAUCAUCAAAUCACUCAGAUGUGAACAGGAACAAACUCCUGACACACAAAGCAGUGUGGAUGCCUUUCUAAAGCAACACACUACAUAAAAGCCAAACACCACCACUGCCCACUGGAAUCAUCAUAUGACAUCCUAGAAGAGGUGACCUACAGGGACAGAAAACAGAUCGGGGCUUCCAAGGCUGGAGUCCCAAGAGAAAAAGUCAGGGGGGAGCUGAGAUGCCUUUUAGAUAUCUUGGAAGUCAUCCAGCAUCACUUCUGCCACAUCUAGUCACCAGGAACCAGUCACUAAAGCCAACCCUUUAGAAUUAGAGGCCAUCUUCUGAUGAGAGGAGUGUCCAACAAUGUGAAAACCUCUUCUAAGCAUUGUGGAUCUAGCCUAAAUGUCAAGCAAUGCCAUAUUCGCUAGGCAUGAUGGCUGCGGGCACCGACCUCCAUGGGGUCUCUAACAGGGCAGUAGACGUUGGGUGGCCUCGAGGCAGUAGCUUUGUAGUGCAAUAACAGUAUUAUAACAAUUCUUUUUUUUUUUUUUUUUUUUUUUUGGUCUUUUUUCAUUUUUAUCGGUACCGGG